This is a long non-coding RNA of Scylla paramamosain (green mud crab), 900 nucleotides long. RefSeq lists it as uncharacterized. The record is from RefSeq and is a predicted model, not a curated record. The transcript is spliced from 3 exons. Lineage: Eukaryota; Metazoa; Arthropoda; Malacostraca; Decapoda; Portunidae.
UAGUAAGUUUCCUGAUUUACCAUCAUAGCUUCUUUCUUAAUUCUCUGGAAUGAAUCCUGCUCUUGAGGACUCAUCACUUGUGUCUCUCUUUUUCUUGGAAGAUGAAAUGGCUAGCAAGUUAAAUGACUGGGUGAAUGAGAGCUGCCCAGUUUUUUGCCGAACAUUCCGAGAAAAAAGGUCAUGCGAGCAGAAUUACAUGACACUCUGUUACAUGUGACAAAAUAUAUAAUUUUCUUGCUCAAAAUCAAUAAUGAAAUAAAUGGAUAACAAAAACCAGCAAAAUAAUCCUUGAAAAAGAUGCAAAAAAUGUUAAAUGGCAAUUGCACCUUACAGAGAGUAGUGGCGACUUGCCCCUUGCACCUUGUUGCAGGGCCACACUGUGUGCCUUGUGGUAAAAGGGGUUAAUGGUGGCACUGCACACCUCAAGAAAAGGUGGUAUGAAGCUCUGCUCAGGUCUCUUCAAAGCAAUCCUGUCUCUGCAUCAUGCAUGCAGUGCUGCGGCAAGGUGCAAAAACACAAGCCACAGCAGAACUAGCUGUGAGGUGCCCUGUGCUCCAUCUGGCUAAGGAAGACCUGUGGCUACCUCUUCUGAGGGUGCAGUGAAGUGUCAGGAUGAGCAGAACAAGAGCAAGACCAAGGUGAAGGUGCCGUGACUGCAGGAUGUGUUGCUGCAAAUGUUGACGGAGACCAAGGCUGGAAGUUAUGCUCAGAUGCAGUGCUUGGCCAUUCUGGGGGAUCCUCUUCUGAAGGAAUCUACAAAUAUUUCCCGAGAUCUUCCGCCGUUUUACUGAGCCGCCUGUUAUGGGGAGCCUUGUCAAGCAUUUUUCUAGAAAUCCUGAUAAACGACAUCAGCUAAUCUGGCGCGUGUCGUCCCCCCGUGUUGUGAACAUCAUCGGAAAA